This 64-nucleotide transfer RNA is filed under the name Enterogyrus malmbergi. Its description in RNAcentral is "tRNA-Arg". The record is from RNAcentral. Lineage: Eukaryota; Metazoa; Platyhelminthes; Monogenea; Dactylogyridea; Ancyrocephalidae.
GCUAGUGAACUAUUUUUAGGCCUAUAUUUCGGCUAUAGCUUUAGGGUUAUUGACUCCGCUAGUU